Molecule: long non-coding RNA, 1790 nt
Filed under: Homo sapiens (human)
Lineage: Eukaryota; Metazoa; Chordata; Mammalia; Primates; Hominidae
Description: HSALNT0407982
Source: RNAcentral
GCGGCGAUUCUGGAGAGGUUGUCCUUUUCUGGCAUCAGCGUUGCGGCUCGAGGCAAAGCUGGUCCUGUGCCUGCUGUCCAUUGCCGCUAAGGCCUGCUGCUGCCAUUCAGGCGUGUCUCUCUCUCUCUCUCUCUUUCAUGCCGCUCUCUCCACCCCAUCUUGGGACGGCCAGCUCUAAGAAUUCCUGCUACGACACUGAAUUCAACCAGGAGGUGAUGCCACACUCAAUCAGAAACUAUGCUACUGCUGAAGAGGUAUAUUGAGCCCUGCCUGGUUAACCUCCAGUGAGGUUAUUAGAGAAUUGGGAGAGGCUCAAAUCAGCAUCCUGCACCUAGUUAUCAAACCAUUGUGAAGUCUUGAUUCCUGGAUGGCCAGAAAACUUGUCAUUGGUCAAGAGCAACAUUAAGAUCUGCCUGUUACUCAUACUGAUGCUUCCUGCCCAGCAAGUUCAUCAGAGGGCGAGGAUGAAUUACGGUUGCCAUGAAUGUCCUUGUGAGGCAGUUGGGAAGCCUUGGCUGGAUUGUGAAGGAUAUUUGAAAAGUAUUUUAGAGUCCACCAGAUCAUCCAUGUGAGUGACCAUGCAGCAAAAGAAGGAGGGUCCUCUCAGUGAUUAAGCUUCCAAGUUUGCUGGAGCCAUGUUUUCUCUAAUGUCCCCACAGAACAGUGGUUGGUAGGAUGGCGGAGACAUGGACUUCAGAGAGUUCUUGGUAGAAGACUCAAAGAGCCACCUGUCAUGAGACAUCCCACUUCCUUCCCCAGGUUACUUCCAAGACUGAGCAGCCAGGUUUUUGGUAGAUGAGAACAAAUGUUUCUUCCUGAAGCCCUGGGGCUUCAGGUAGGAAGAAGGACUGCUAUACUUGUUCUCACCCUUGGCUUCUGGCUGCUCCAGUUAAACAUGGUUCCCAUUGAUACAGACAUUAGAGUGGGAAAGGACUUCGUUCAUAGACCGAAGACCCUCAAAGGAAAGUCCUUCCAUUUUGGGAAGGGUGACAUUGAUUUCGUUUAGCUGCUUAAGAUAUGUACUUGCUGUUGUCUUGUGAGACAUGACAUCUGAAGCUGAAGAGGAGUCCCUCUCAUUGUUGUCAUUGUCCCACCGGGACUGAAAGUCUCCCAGUUGAGGCAGCAUUUUAGCUUUGAUGUCUACAGGGCAAUCAUGGAUCAGGAAAUUUCUGCAAAUUAGACUUGGAAAACAAGGUCUUGAUCCUUCUUGUCUUUGGACGAAGACUAAUCAUCACUUUUGACUGAAGGUGUAGUGCUGGAGACUAUGUUGGAGGCAGCACCUGAUGCACUAUCCAUAUUCUUCCCCUUGAUCUUGUCUUAAAGUUUUCCAAAUGGAUUCCGAGGCUUGUCUUUGAUGAAAAGGUCAAACAUACUGGCAGUCAUGUUGUUUCUCAUAAGCUGGAUGUCAACCUCAAUUUCUCCUCUUUAUCCUUCUCUCCUGGUUUGGAUUUCAAGGUAUACCACCGCAUCUUCCUGCUCCCCUAGUCUGGGUGCAGGUCCUGCAGGUACACCUCGGCGAAGCCCAAGUACAGUAGCAGCAGCACCUCAAAGGUGGCCUCCUCCUCUGACACUGAGGUGGCAUACUUCUCCUUACCCACCUGAAUCACCGAGUACAUGUUGCUUGUACCGUCAGGCUCUUGGUUCUUGGCCCCUGGCCCUAUGCCUGCAACACUGUCACCUGCACGUGGAUUGGGAACCACAUAGCCCCCGGACCUGCUAAGGCCAUUAAGGACAGGAUGGUGAUGCCUCGGCUGACUGACGUGAGAAGAUUGUCAUGACCCAUGGCCUCU